UACGGGGGGGGCAAGCGUUGUUCGGAAUUACUGGGCGGAAAGGGCGCGUAGGCGGCGCUCCAAGUUAGGCGUGAAAGCCCCGGGCUCAACCUGGGAAUAGCGCUUAAGACUGGGGUGCUCGAGUGCGGGAGAGGUGAGUGGAAUUCCCAGUGUAGAGGUGAAAUUCGUAGAUAUUGGGAAGAACACCAGUGGCGAAGGCGGCUCACUGGCCCGCAACUGACGCUGAGGCGCGAAAGCGUGGGGAGCAAACAGG
This 253-nucleotide ribosomal RNA is filed under the name uncultured bacterium. Its description in RNAcentral is "partial 16S ribosomal RNA". It matches the Rfam family "Bacterial small subunit ribosomal RNA", at positions 524 to 776 of the family's 1533-position model. The record is from RNAcentral.